Molecule: unclassified non-coding RNA, 240 nt
Filed under: soil metagenome
Description: partial contains 5.8S ribosomal RNA, internal transcribed spacer 2, and large subunit ribosomal RNA
Source: RNAcentral
AACCUAGCACACCUGCGGUGUGUACCUGCGGAAGGAUCAUUACUGUUUUGGAACCGCAAUGACUCAGGAACGCAUUCCGUGUCCGCUGGUGCGCAUUGCUUUGAUUUGUUUGAUUGGCAGGGAGAGCGCAGCGCGCAAAAGACAUCCACCCGUCGUGGAUAAUUUUGUUGUGUUUUGUUUGUGCGAAAAAGUCCUUGAUAAUGCUCAGCGAGAGGUAAUAGCACCUACAAUUGCCAAGUA